GCCUUCGUGGUAUAACGGUAGUACACUCGGGUUGUAUUCGAGGGGUCCAGGUUCGAGACCCGGUGAGAGCA
This 71-nucleotide transfer RNA is filed under the name Stegodyphus mimosarum. It matches the Rfam family "tRNA". From Rfam's summary of the family: Transfer RNA (tRNA) molecules are approximately 80 nucleotides in length. Their secondary structure includes four short double-helical elements and three loops (D, anti-codon, and T loops). The record is from Rfam by way of RNAcentral. Lineage: Eukaryota; Metazoa; Arthropoda; Arachnida; Araneae; Eresidae.